GGAGGCGUCGCAUAGCGGUCUAGUGCGCACGCUUGGAAAGCGUGUGAACCGAAAGGUUCCGAGAGUUCGAAUCUCUCCGGCUCCGCUA
Molecule: transfer RNA, 88 nt
Filed under: Chloroflexota bacterium
Lineage: Bacteria; Bacillati; Chloroflexota
Description: Chloroflexi bacterium tRNA-Ser
Rfam family: tRNA
About the family: Transfer RNA (tRNA) molecules are approximately 80 nucleotides in length. Their secondary structure includes four short double-helical elements and three loops (D, anti-codon, and T loops).
Source: RNAcentral